UACGAAGGGUGCAAGCGUUAAUCGGAAUUACUGGGCGUAAAGCGUGCGUAGGCGGUUUCUUAAGUCUGCUGUGAAAUCCCCGGGCUCAACCUGGGAAUGGCAGUGGAUACUGGGGAGCUAGAGUGUGAUAGAGGAUGGUGGAAUUCCCGGUGUAGCGGUGAAAUGCGUAGAGAUCGGGAGGAACAUCAGUGGCGAAGGCGGCCAUCUGGAUCAACACUGACGCUGAGGCACGAAAGCGUGGGGAGCAAACAGG
RNAcentral lists this ribosomal RNA (253 nucleotides) under uncultured bacterium. RNAcentral's name for it is "partial 16S ribosomal RNA". It matches the Rfam family "Bacterial small subunit ribosomal RNA", at positions 524 to 776 of the family's 1533-position model. The record is from RNAcentral.